UACGUAGGGGGCAAGCGUUAUCCGGAUUUACUGGGUGUAAAGGGAGCGUAGACGGCAUGGCAAGUCAGAUGUGAAAGCCCGGGGCUCAACCCCGGGACUGCAUUUGAAACUGUCAGGCUGGAGUGCAGGAGAGGUAAGCGGAAUUCCUAGUGUAGCGGUGAAAUGCGUAGAUAUUAGGAGGAACACCAGUGGCGAAGGCGGCUUACUGGACUGUAACUGACGCUGAGGCUCGAAAGCAUGGGUAGCGAACAGG
This 253-nucleotide ribosomal RNA is filed under the name uncultured bacterium. RNAcentral describes it as "partial 16S ribosomal RNA". It matches the Rfam family "Bacterial small subunit ribosomal RNA", at positions 524 to 776 of the family's 1533-position model. The record is from RNAcentral.